RNAcentral lists this ribosomal RNA (468 nucleotides) under uncultured bacterium. RNAcentral's name for it is "partial 16S ribosomal RNA". It matches the Rfam family "Bacterial small subunit ribosomal RNA", at positions 28 to 507 of the family's 1533-position model. The record is from RNAcentral.
GACGAACGCUGGCGGCGGGCUUAACACAUGCAAGUCGAACGGAAAGGCCCUGGUUUGGGGGGGUGGGCGAGGGGCGAACGGGUGAGUAACACGUGUGUAACCUGCCCUUGACUUUGGGAUAGGUUCAGGAGACUGGGGCUAAUACCGGAUAGGAGCUCUUGCGGCAGGGUGGGGGUGGGAAAGUUUCGGUGGUUGGGGGUGGACUCGCCGCUUAUCAGCUUGUUGGUGGGGUAGUGGCUUACCAAGGCCUUGACGGGUAGCCGGCCUGAGAGGGUGACCGGACACAUUGGGACUGAGAUGCGGCACAGACUACUACGGGAGGCAGCAGUGGGGAAUAUUGCCCAAUGGGCGGAAGCCUGAUGCAGCAACGCCGCGUGCGGGAUGACGGCCUUCGGGUUGUAAACCGCUUUCGCCUGUGACGAAGAGUGAGUGACGGUAAUGGGUAAAGAAGCACCGGCUAACUACGUG